AAGAAACAAAAAGCCCUUUCAUGCUGUUCUGUCUUAUUAUUCUGCAGUCAUGGUAUUCAUCCAUCACCAGAAUAGGAUAUUGCUUUUUUAUGAGAGAAGGUGGCAACAACACCUAAGAACUAAUUUAUCCAUCUGUUCAGUCUCCCGAAGAAAGAAACUUCUUCUUCAGUUUUAAUUCCCCCUGCUUCUAUGCUGUAGAUUAUUCAGACUUGGAAGUGCAAUUAUUUCUAAACAUAAGUCAUUAUUUAGUUGAAACUAAGGUGAUAGUUGCUAAGCAAAAGUAAAUGAAGUCACCUAGUUAAGUUUGGAUGUUUGCUUAUUAAUAUUUACACUGCAUCUAGCACAUUCCACAAAAUAAUUGAAGUGCACCUCAAGGCAAGGAUGUGGUGAAUAAGCCAAUAUUAUUCUACCCUGUGUUUUGGUGAUGUGGAAUGUCUUUUGUUUUGGGUCCAAUUAGCUACAGAAGCGAAGGUGUAGGUAUCCUUGAUAGUUCCUGACUCAAAAUCUCACUUUAAAGUGACUUAUGCAUCACUAGUGUUGAGUGUAGUACAGUAUGGAGCCUCCAAAGCUUUUAUCCUCUCCUUUUUUAAAUGACAUUUAGAAUGAUAUGAAAGAUUGGUAUUUCCAAGCCAAAUAUCCAAAGAUAGUUUUCUGUCAUUAGCAAAUUUUAUGAAAGCUGUUUGUAUUGACUAGGUGGUUUCUAAAAACAUGCUUCCUUGGUUACACAGAGGCCUCCAUUAGUGGGUUACAUAUUUGUCUUUUUGGUUACGCUUAGCAAGAGACGAUCUUGAAAUGAUGUCUGUUAUUCUUUGACUGAAUUAAAGAGUACUCCUCACAGGCAGUUACUCCACAGUUGUCAUCUGUCCCUUAGUGUAAACGUUUCUCUGCUUGUGAAAUUGGGAUUAAAUUAUCUGGAGAAAGACGUCCAGAAAUUAAUAGUUGCAGCUGUUCUAUACUGGUUGUGACCAGAGUUAAACUUGAAAGAAACUGCCGUUGUAUUUCUAAAAGUUUUUGUUUGUAAUUUGAGAUUUUUUUUUAAAAGGCAUCUUUUUAAUUUGUGUUCCUUUUUGAUCCAUGAUUUUUGCCCCUCCCCCUUGCCUUUAUUUCUCAGUGUCAGUGCCCAUAGUGACCUCCCACUGGCAGCGACAGGAUUCCGACACCACUCCAGGGCUUUACUACAGCAGAGCUCUGCCAAAAUCCUAUGGAAUGAACUCCAUCCAGAGGCUACACUGAUCACCGCUAAGCCAUUUGGUUGAUAUCUGUAAUAUAAACCCUUAAUCAUUUUGUUUUUGCAAAGCAAUCUGAAGAGGAUGUGAGCCAGUUUGAUUCAAAGUUUACACGUCAGACACCUGUUGAUAGCCCAGAUGACUCUACUCUCAGUGAAAGUGCCAACCAGGUCUUUCUGGGUUUUACGUAUGUGGCUCCAUCUGUACUUGAAAGUGUAAAAGAGAAAUUUUCUUUUGAACCAAAAAUUCGAUCACCUCGCAGAUUCAUAGGUAGCCCUAGGACACCAGUCAGCCCUGUAAAGUUUUCCCCUGGGGAAUUCUGGGGAAGAGGUGCUUCUGCCAGCGCAUCAAAUACUCAGACACCUGUGGAAUAUCCAAUGGAGACGAGUGGAAUAGAACAAAUGGAUGUGACAGUUUGUGGAGAAGCUUCGGCACCGCUUCCAAUCCGGCAACCAAACUCUGGGCCAUACAAAAAACAAGCUUUCCCCAUGAUUUCCAAACGACCAGAGCACUUGCGCAUGAAUCUAUGACAACACAAUUUUUUUAAGCCUUUGAAGGUGGAAAACAAAGAAUGGACAUAAGCCCCUUGAAGUUGAAAUACGAGGGCUUGUAUGGUUUACUUUUAAAAAGUGACAGUAUCAAAGAGUCAGUCCUUGCACAGAGCGACUUGGAAAGCAAAGAAAAAUGGAUUUUUUUUUUUUCUGUCAAUCAAUGGUGCAUAAAAAACUUUAGAAAAUGGUAUUGCAGAACUCUAGGCACAUCAUCUAACUGAUUCGCAGUGACAUCUUCUCACCUUAUCAAGGAUUUUUCAGCUUGGUAGCUUGAAACUGACAGUAUUAAGGGGCAGGAUGUUGCUUCAGAAUCACUGGUCUAGUUGUGAAUGUGUCAAGGAGGGUUAGCCCUUUCACUAGGCAAAGUAUGAAAUGCCUAUAUGCUUGCGACCGAGGAAUAAUUAGCAUGCAAGCUUGGUUAAGCUGUUUCCUGCAAUGGGGUGGAAUCAAAGAUGAGAGAUAAAAUUAAUUGGUAUUUCACAUUCAAAACCGAAUGAGUUUUUUUUAUAUAUAUAUAAAAAAAUAUAUAUUUUUCGAAUAGAUUUUUUUGAUUCAGCUCAUUAUGGAAAGUAUCCCGAAAUUUAGAAUACAAAAUAAUUGGUUGCUGUGAAGAAAGUAAAGGCUCUAGUUCUGAUUCUCCUCAUGAAACAAAAAAUCAGUGAGUUACUCAAUUACCAGCUUGGCAACGCGGGGUGGGAAAGAACUGUUUCACUUGCUUACCCAACUGAAAUACCUGUUCCUGCAAAGACGAAUGGAUCUAAUCAAAUCACAGUGCUGCUAUGUUCUAGGCUUAACUGGAAGCCAUGGGCUCAAAUACACGUCCUGCUUAUUUCAUCCUUGUCCUCAGCAGACAUUUCACUGGGAAACAUCACUUUCGUAUAUGCCAGUCACUUAGCUGGAGAUGGCUGAAUACAUUCAGAUUCUUACCCAUAUAAAAGGUUGGGAAAAAGUGCAUCUGAACACAAGGUCAGGAGGUGUGGCUGUACUUCCACAGGAAAUGUACACAAGUUCUACGUCAUGUAAGCAAGCAAACCUUUUUGUAACCAAUGGGUAAGAACUUCAGGAAAUUUUUUUAAAUAAAUUUUUGCUUAUGGGACGGACUUCCCUGCCGUUACAUAUUUCUAAAUUUAUUUUUUUCUAUGCUGGGGCAAUAAAUUUGCUGGUUGUAUGAGGCUGAGGAAAACGUUAAAUGGCCUUUCAGCGAAUGUCUUCCACAGUGGGUCAGAACUUCAGCAACUUAAUUUAGCAAACAUGUUCUAAGGACACUUUAUGUUUUUAAAAUUGUCACAAUCUGUACAAAUGGCUUACAGGUACAAAGAAUAAAAUAAAGGUAACUUUACCUUACUUAUACUUCCUGCCUUAAAGAAAGCAUUUCCAUGAGCAUAGCUGGUGAAAGGGUUAAUAUCUGCAGAGCUUUACACUAGUUAGAGUGUGUAUGGUGUGUGCGUGUGUGUGUGUAUAUGAUCAUGCAACUGCAUACAAGUCCUGUCAUUUUUUGCCUGCCACACGUUGCAUUAUCUUUAGUCAAACUGUGCAAAGUCUACUUCUAGUGUUUCACAACAGUAGGGAUUUUUUAUAGAUUCUGCUUACUCUGUGUAUACUGAAUCUUUUUGAGCCAUAGGAUCCAAGCCAUAAGACUCUCUACACGUUGAAUCCGAUCAGAGUUUGCAAGCCAGAAGGAUUCAGUGAUAUCUUGUUGAUACUAAUAAAGAGCCAACAAAAGAAGAUACAUACGAUUGAGCAAAAAUUAGUAUUUAGUUUUCUUCCUGAUAAGCCUUUUGUUGGAGAAUUUCUUUUUUAGUUUUAUAAGGAAAAUCAAGUUACCUUCCAUUGACAUAAAUUGUACUGGAAGAUUGAUGUUUUUCAUUGGGUAAUAUGGCUGGUGACACGUUGUGAAACUGAAAUCAGAGUGCUUACGUGUGUGUAUAUUCUGCAUAUUUGCAAAGAGGCAACACUUCAAGCAAUGCCUGCUCUGUGUCACUUGUUAACAUAGGUUUCCUGCCAUGUUUACUGAUUAUAAAUGAACUUAGUUUAAUUUAAUUUUACUUUUUGAGGCAGAUCUCUUGGUCCUAGUUACAGCUAACAGUUCCUUUUUGGUUGGCUGGAUAGACUUGUCCAGUAGAGUUGGUUUGGUAUGGCUGGCAAGAAUGGCAAGAGUUGUUUGUCUGAGUUCACUGCUUAAUUACAGAUAUAGUUCAUCAUUUUUAAAAGGAAAUUUCAUAUCCUGUCCAUCUUCCAUCCCAUAGAUUGUAAGUUUUAGUUCCCUACCAUAACUGUGAAACUUCUGGAGUGUGACUCAGACAGCAAGCACACACUAUGCAAUAUGGUUUAUCCUGUAUUUAUUUGUAAAAAUAUCAGACAUAGAUCCUCUAUAUAUAUAUAGUAGUGUCAAAAUGACUAGUCACAACCUGAGGGGAGUGGAGUUCGAGCUCCUGUCUGGCUAUUUCAGAUAAGUGCAGAAUGCAUUGAAUAUUGGAGAGCUUAACAAGUGCUUUCUUUUGUUCAUUUAAAAAUGUCUUAAAUUUUUCAUUAGAGUAUAGAAUCUUAUUUUUUUUAUUUUGUACAAGCUGCGCUUUUUUAAUUAUAAUCACUGAAAAAUUCACUAUAAUUUGAUUUUAUAGAAUUUUUGUAGCAUUACAAAAAGUAUAGUAAAAACUGAGGUUAAUACCUGUUUUGGCUAACCAUAUGAAAGUAUUAAAUCUUGAACAAAAGUCGUAUUUUUUUUUACUAGAUGUUAAAUAGGGCAAUAUUUUGUUCUGCGAGUCGUCACCACAAAAGGUUUCUAAUAGGUCAGCUGCAUUACCAGCAGUUUUUCUUUUCCCAUUUAAUGCAGAAAUUAUUCUGGUAUGAGAUAUUCAGAAUUUCAUCAUUUUUCUCUGUGGGAGUGAUGCAUACAUUUGAUGCCAUUUGUGUACUAAAUUGUAAUUUUGGGAAUGCUGGAAUAAUUCCUACCAAGACUGUCUUAAUUGUGCCAUCUGACAUCUGAAUGUCAUCCUGGUAUUAGCUCAUAAUAAAAGAUACAAAGAAAUGA
Molecule: non-coding RNA, 4808 nt
Organism: Meleagris gallopavo (turkey)
Lineage: Eukaryota; Metazoa; Chordata; Aves; Galliformes; Phasianidae
Source: RefSeq, a predicted model, not a curated record